This 790-nucleotide small RNA is filed under the name Pan troglodytes (chimpanzee). RNAcentral's name for it is "processed transcript". The record is from RNAcentral. Lineage: Eukaryota; Metazoa; Chordata; Mammalia; Primates; Hominidae.
AGGAAGUUGGCUGCUUUUAGCCGAUCUGAGCCAUAACAUAGGUGAGGAGGGAGGGGCCAAUAGCUAGGAGCAAUUUAUUCAUCACGGACUCAAGUAUAUGUGAGAAGCUGUCUUUGCUCGGUGCUUAUCAUCUCUGAAGGAUGAGAGAAUUCAAGCUAGCAAAAAGCUGAAGGGUCCCCAGAAGUUCCAGUUUGAUGGUGAUAAGAAAUCAUUCCUGGAGGACAUUCGGAAGGCACUCUACGCUUCCAAGAUCAUCUCUUAUGCUCAAGGCUUUAUGCUGCUAAGGCAGGCAGCCACCGAGUUUGGCUGGACCCUCAAUUAUGGUGGCAUUGCCCUGAUGUGGAGAGGGGGCUGCAUCAUUAGAAGUGUAUUCCUAGGAAAGAUAAAGGAUGCAUUUGAUCGAAACCCGGAACUUCAGAACCUCCUACUGGACGACUUCUUUAAGUCAGCCGUUGGGAGCUGCCAGGACUCCUGGCGGCGGGCAGUCAGCACUGGGGUCCAGGCUGGCAUUCCCAUGCCCUGUUUUACCACUGCCCUCUCCUUCUAUGACGGGUACAGACAUGAGAUGCUUCCAGCCAGCCUCAUCCAGGCUCAGCGGGAUUACUUCGGGGCUCACACCUAUGAACUCUUGGCCAAACCAGGGCAGUUUAUCCACACCAACUGGACAGGCCAUGGUGGCACUGUGUCAUCCUCGUCAUACAAUGCCUGAUCAUGCUGCUCCUGUCACCCUCCACGAUUCCACAGACCAGGACAUUCCAUGUGCCUCAUGGCACUGCCACCUGGCCCUUUG